Molecule: long non-coding RNA, 276 nt
Filed under: Lathyrus oleraceus (garden pea)
Lineage: Eukaryota; Viridiplantae; Streptophyta; Magnoliopsida; Fabales; Fabaceae
Description: Pisum sativum (pea) long non-coding RNA (PSAT_LNC028110)
Source: RNAcentral
AAAAAUGGAAGAAGAAUAUGUUAUGGUGGAUAUACCUUUUAGAAAGAGAAAAUGAAAGUUAACGUUGAUGGACACUGUCUUAUAAAAAGUUAUGGGCAUGGAUAUUUAUAUAUUUAAUUUAUUUUCUCUUUAUCAAAAAAAAAAACUUUUCUCUUUGUCAUCAAAUAUUUUAGAUGUUCAAUAUUGUGUGACACAAUGGAAAGAUUGAUUGAUCUUUAAAUCUUAAAGAUCUUAAACUUGUUUAGUAGUCUGAAUUGUUUCUUGAUUAUGAUAUUU